GCCGGUGUGGCGGAAUGGCAGACGCUCCUGACUCAAAAUCAGGUUCCCGCAAGGGAGUGGAGGUUCGAGUCCUCUCACCGGUACCA
Molecule: transfer RNA, 86 nt
Filed under: Paenibacillus azoreducens
Lineage: Bacteria; Bacillati; Bacillota; Bacilli; Caryophanales; Paenibacillaceae
Also listed under: 2 other names
Description: tRNA-Leu
Rfam family: tRNA
About the family: Transfer RNA (tRNA) molecules are approximately 80 nucleotides in length. Their secondary structure includes four short double-helical elements and three loops (D, anti-codon, and T loops). Further hydrogen bonds mediate the characteristic L-shaped molecular structure. tRNAs have two regions of fundamental functional importance: the anti-codon, which is responsible for specific mRNA codon recognition, and the 3' end, to which the tRNAs corresponding amino acid is attached (by aminoacyl-tRNA synthetases). tRNAs cope with the degeneracy of the genetic code in two manners: having more than one tRNA (with a specific anti-codon) for a particular amino acid; and 'wobble' base-pairing, i.e. permitting non-standard base-pairing at the 3rd anti-codon position.
Source: RNAcentral